CAAUCGUCAGUCCUCCUCCAGUCAAACAUCAGCGAUCCCCUUAGUAAAGUAUCAGUCAAAAAUUUACGAUUUUUCCCAGCCAAUGAAACGAGCACAAACACGGAACUAUUAUCACAUGGACUCAAUACAGAAGAGGUGCUAGCUGGUGUAAGGCAACUGAUAUAACACAAGAUGGAUGCAUCAAGUGAUAAAAUCCAGAGAUAUGAAAACUUGAAGAAGGAUUUUGAAAAAGGACUUCUAUCAAAACGAGGUUUUGACAGUAAGGUUAUAGCCUUAUUGGAAGAGAAAGACCAGGCAGAAGAAUUAACUAGAGAUGAUGUAAUCAAGUUCCUUUUUGAAAAAGGAUACACUCAAAAAGAAAUGGCAGGGAUUCUACAUAUAACGGAUCGUCAGAUACGGAAACAUCUACAGAGAUUAGAGUUAAGGAGACGGAGGGAUGACCGCCCCUUUGAGGCAAUUCUUGCAGCUGUGCAGAAAGAGCUUAAAAACUGGCCAGAAACAAAAGGCAUUCGGGCAAUGCACAGACGGGUGAGAGAUGGAGUUGGAGUGAGGCCCUGUUACAGAGAGGAUGUCCAUGCUAUAAUGCGUGUAUUGGAUGCUUCUGGGUUAGAGAAGAGGCGGCCAGGGCGAUGCCAUAUUCCAAGGAGGCAGUACAAUGCCAAAGGACCAAACUAUGUUUGGCACAUCGAUGGUAAAUAUCAGAACAAAUGCACUCAUCCAAUGUGGCUGUCUUGUUCAUGUAGCUGCAAAUUGUCCAUUUCACAAUACAUUUCUUUUUUCUUAUGUAAUUACAGGCAAUGACAAGUUGAGGUUCUACGGGAUAUGGCUUCACCUUUGUAUUGAUGGGUUUGUUUAAAUAUACAGACAUAUAUUUUAAUAGGUCUGGAUGACCUGUCUUUGACUCAGCACAUUUUUAUAAGUUCAUAUAAAAAUAGUUGACUUCCAAGAUUGGUUUAUCUUGUCAAUACAUGUAAUUAUACUGUCGUUUAUUUCUUCUCUGGACUUGAAUGAAGCAUGAAGUAUUGAAAAUGUGAAAGCUUUUAGAUCUAUAAUGAUGAUUUACCAGAGACAUAUACAUUUGUUUAGGAAAAUGGCAGCAAUGAAUACUUGAUAAUCAGAUUGAGCAGUUAUCACAAAGUGCAUCGCCACCACUUUAUAAACAAGGGGUGUCAGACCAGUUCCACAGAGGGCCAAGUGUCUGCUGGUUUUUCCUAUAAAUUGGUUCCCAGUUCAGACCUAAACAACCAGGUGAGGGUAGAAACCUACAAAUUAGUGACCUAAUUAAUCAAUCUAGUACAAGGUGAGAGUGAAAACCUGCAGACACUUGGCCCUCCGCGGAACCGGUUUGACACCUGUGUUACGAACAAUUACUAUGCUUUUACAAUUUACAGAAUGCACUAAUGCAGAAUUAGCUGUAAAAUGUAUGGUUUUAUGUUGCAACAACGAUAAAAUUACACCCAUGACCCCAAAUAACAAUAAGUCAUGUUUCUUUUCUGAAUGUGAAUUUCUCAGGUACUCAAGACGUGUGAUUUGGUUACAUGCAGGAACUUCAAACCGCAAACCUGAGUUUGUUGGGAAAUAUUUUCUGGAUGCAACUAUCAAAGAGCAUGGCUGUCCCAACCUUGUUCGAUCUGACCGAGGAACUGAAAACUCUGUGGUGGCUGUUAUUCAGAUUGCUUUCCGUUCACGCGCAACGGACAGUCUGAGCGGUGACAAGAGCUUCAGGUAUGGGAAGUCAGUACACAACCAGCGUGCUGAAGCUUUCAACAGUGUGCUGAAAAGAUCAUGGAUUUUUCACUGGCAAAGCUACUUUGAGUCCAUGCAGGUUACUGAUUUGUUGGACAUAUCUAAUCCUAUACACAUCCACUUGGUCCAAUACUGCUACCUCACACUUGUUGAGAAGCAGCUUCAAACAGAACAGAACGAAUGGAAUGACCACAUGAUCCGGAAGCAAGUUGGAGCAGCUGGGCCUUUUGGAAAACCAAACAUCAUGUAUUUCACACCUACCACUGGAACACCGAAUCUGCUUUGUCCAGUGGACAGAGACCUGACACACUAUGCCGCAACACUGGUGUGUGAAGAUGGAGCAGCACUGCUGGUUGCUAAUGAAGCUUUCCGAACACUCUGCCACAGAGUUCUUGCUCGUUCUGCUCUCCACAUUGACCACAUGUGUGUAGAGCGGUCGAUGGCUGCAUAUGUGUGCCUGAAGAACUUUUUCUUAGAAAAGUUGAUUGAUCUUUCAGUUGAUCAUCCUCAAAAUUUUGAAGAGGCUUGCCUUUUUUAUAUUACCAUUUAGGGUCCUUACAAUGAAUUAAUAUUAAGGACCUAGUAAGGUGUAGGCCAAACCAUUGUCAUCAGAACCUGACCUACUGUGUUUUUGGGUCAUUUACCUGUUUUUUCACAUCUUUUGCCAGCCUUUACCUGCGCAGUAGCCUGCCUCUAUUCUUUGGAUUUAGACCUAUAGCCUGCCAGACUAUUUUGCCUGGCUGCUGUUUUUGUCUUAUUGCCUCAAAUAAAACCCUUUUAUGCUCUACGCAUGCAUCUAUA
This is a long non-coding RNA of Esox lucius (northern pike), 2547 nucleotides long. The record is from Ensembl. NCBI's taxonomy places the organism in Eukaryota, Metazoa, Chordata, Actinopteri, Esociformes, Esocidae.